AGCAGCCGCGGUAAUUCCAGCUCCAAUAGCGUAUAUUAAAGUUGUUGCAGUUAAAAAGCUCGUAGUUGAAUUUCGGGGUCAGUAGGUCGGUCGUGCCACUGGUAUGAACUGGUUUUACUGAUUCCUCCCUCUUGAAGAACUGUAAUGCCACUAAUUUGGUGUUGCAGGGAAUCAGGACUGUUACUUUGAAAAAUUAGAGUGUUUAAAGCAGGCUUUAGCUUGAAUACAUUAGCAUGGAAUAAUGAAAUAGGACGUUUGAUCCUAUUUUGUUGGUUUCUAGGAUUGACGUAAUGAUUAAUAGGGAUAGUUGGGGGCAUUAGUAUUCAAUUGUCAGAGGUGAAAUUCUUGGAUUUAUUGAAGACUAACUACUGCGAAAGCAUUUGCCAAGGAUGUUUUCAUUAAUCAAGAACGAAAGUUAGGGGAUCGAAGACGAUCAGAUACCGUCGUAGU
RNAcentral lists this ribosomal RNA (450 nucleotides) under uncultured Glomus. Its description in RNAcentral is "SSU rRNA". It matches the Rfam family "Eukaryotic small subunit ribosomal RNA", at positions 569 to 1024 of the family's 1831-position model. The record is from RNAcentral. Lineage: Eukaryota; Fungi; Glomeromycota; Glomeromycetes; Glomerales; Glomeraceae.